RNAcentral lists this ribosomal RNA (531 nucleotides) under uncultured bacterium. RNAcentral describes it as "bacterial SSU rRNA". It matches the Rfam family "Bacterial small subunit ribosomal RNA", at positions 777 to 1308 of the family's 1533-position model. The record is from RNAcentral.
AAUAGAUACCCCGGUAGUCCACGCCGUAAACGAUGAGUGCUAAGUGUUAGAGGGCUUCCACCCUUUAGUGCUGCAGCUAACGCAUUAAGCACUCCGCCUGGGGAGUACGGCCGCAAGGCUGAAACUCAAAGGAAUUGACGGGGGCCCGCACAAGCGGUGGAGCAUGUGGUUUAAUUCGAAGCAACGCGAAGAACCUUACCAGGUCUUGACAUCCUUCGCUACCUCUAGAGAUAGAGGGUUCCCCUUCGGGGGACGGAGUGACAGGUGGUGCAUGGUUGUCGUCAGCUCGUGUCGUGAGAUGUUGGGUUAAGUCCCGCAACGAGCGCAACCCUUGACCUUAGUUGCCAGCAUUCAGUUGGGCACUCUAAGGUGACUGCCGGUGACAACCGGAGGAAGGUGGGGAUGACGUCAAAUCAUCAUGCCCCUUAUGACCUGGGCUACACACGUGCUACAAUGGAUGGUACAAAGGGUCGCGAAACCGCGAGGUGGAGCCAAUCCCAAAAACCAUUCUCAGUUCGGAUUGCAGGCUGC